Molecule: ribosomal RNA, 4449 nt
Filed under: Triticum aestivum (bread wheat)
Lineage: Eukaryota; Viridiplantae; Streptophyta; Magnoliopsida; Poales; Poaceae
Description: partial small subunit ribosomal RNA
Source: RNAcentral
UAAACGCCGGGCGUGGGGAGGUUGGCCUAGGGGUGGGUGGGGGUGUUAGCGAAGGCUAGACGGCGGCUUUGGGAUCUGGGGCGGCGGCGGCGGCUACCCUAGGGGUUGCCACCGGGGGCGCGGGGAGGAGCGGCGGCGGGGCCUGCCGCCGCUCCGCCUGCGGUUGCCGCUGGUGCUCGCCGUCGUCGUCGAGGUCUAGCAGGGGAGGAGGCGGCAGGGGCGGGGGAGGUUCGGCGGGCUCGGCCGCGGCUGCCACCGGUGGGUGUGCGCGUGGUAGCCGUAGUAGGUGGGCGGCGGGCUGUAGGCGCAGUAGUAGCUCUUCUGCCGGUGGAAGCAGCGGUUCUUGCCCGGGCUCAAGCUCGCGGCGUAGCAGCGGGUGUUGGUCCCGUUGCGGUUCAAGUUGAAGGAGGUCGGGAGGCUGGGGAUGGUGCGGAUGAUGGUCGUGGCGCAGAGGCUCUAGCGGCUGCGCGGCGGGCGGGGGCUGCGGCGGCGGUGGCUGGGGCUGCGAGAGGGGAGCCUGCUGAGGCGGCGGCUGCCGUUCGGGCGGCUGCUGGUGAGGCGCGGGAAGGCGCAGCCGGGCGGGCGGUUCCACGACCACGGCGGGUUCCGGCUCGAGAUGUGGCACGCGGAGGGGCUCCCGUAGUGGUGGCUCCUCCACCUGUAGCAGUUCGACUGCCGCGUCAAGCAGCGGGCGUUGCCGUUCUGGAAGGACCGGUCGGAGCGCAGGGCCCUCUCGUGGUUGGGCGUCAAGUUGAAGGAGGCGGGGUGGGUGUCGUACAAGGGGAAGAAGUGGCGCGAGCGGCUGUAGAUGAGCUCCCAGUACUCCGGACUGCUCCCGCACCGGCGGGAGUACUCCCUCGAGUUCCUCCCCUGGUUCCUGGAGUGGUGCCACGACCUCGCGACGGAGUUGGCCGAGCUCACCCUGGCCAGCGUCCUCGUCCGGUUCGUCGUCCGCCUCCUACUCCAACUCUACCUCUCCUACGUCUACAGGUACUAACUAACCGUACUAAAGCAGCAACAGCUCUGAUAACUCAAACUACUACUACUCAAACUCCCGGAGGGACACGGCGGAUGCGACCUUCUCGACUUCGCGGCGUUCUCCUACCUCUGGAACCCUCUCCUCCUCGGGUACCUUAACCGACUUGGUCGGUUCCUACAACUCUACCUCUACCUACUCCUCCUCUACGUCGAACAGCUCCUUCCUUACUUCCGUCGUUCCGAGCUACUCUUACUACCUCCUCGUGUUCAAUUCCACCGGUCAUUACUACUACUCGGCGGAUACUCUUAACAGUUUUUGAUGUUCUCCGGACUCCUCUCCUAGGGACGCCUCUCCCUGGGCUGGUUCCAACAACAGAGUGGUUAUUGGCCCCUCGAGUAAGGCUAGUCGCUCUACCUCCUUGUGUACGCGUAGAGCGAGUAACUGGGGUUCAUGUUCCUUGUCUUUCUUUCUUACGACCGGUUCUAAUUCCUUUGGUGAGAACGAGGACUACUACUCUAGAGGGCAUUGUAAUAACCAGAACGUGCAUGCUCCGGUCUAUAAAAACCUUGGUGGCUCCUUCUCCAAAGAUUACGGCAGUUCCGUCUUUAACUUUUCUUUUUCCUACUCGUCGGUUUCGUCCAAUAAACCCUACCAGUAAGACCCUCGUAGCCAACCUGUCGGUGAGUCCGUUACAGACAGCCACCUCUUCUUGUCCCACUACGGAGCUUACGAGGUCCAGGUCGAGGUGAAGGGGCCGGACCGUACGGCAACGGGGCCGGAGGGGUUGGUGAAAGGAACCAGUUACAAGGGGCUAAAUGUGGGUUAGGUUACGGAAUAGUACAGGUUGGGGGAGUAGUAUACGUUCCUCAAGGUGGUGUAUACUACAGGUUGUACGUGGUUGGAGACGGUGGUCCAGUUGUUGUGUACUAAUCCUACAGUCCAGGGUACCCAGUAUACGGUUCAUUAUAGGGAGGCGGCGGAGGUCCGGUAUUAUGAGUCAAGUACGGACCAGGUGGUGCCAAACGAUACGGGGGAGGGGGCGUGUACGUCUUGUACGGUUGGUACCAGUUGGGGUAGCCUUAGGGGGUCGGAGGUGGUGGAAACGGAGGUGUUGGUGGACGGCUCCUCGUCGGUGGAGAUGGACUCCUUGGUCUUGGAUUCUCCGUCUCUUGUCUACUACGAAGAGACUAGGGUCGACUCGUCAAGGAGCGAGUCGUAGGCCCGGGACGAGCGUAGAGUCAAAGACACGGGUUGGAACUACUUCCUUUGAACGCUCCGGUUCAAAACCUUUAGAGACAGGUUAGUGAGAGUCUGUGUCAGCCGUCAGACUUCCUCGUUUAACGACCUCUCGACGUCGAAGGACGAUUAUUCGUCUUCGACUCACACUCCUGAUCAAAGGAGUUCCUGUUAGAAAGAGAACGAAUAAUGUUACACCCGGGACCCCACCAGUAGUUAGAUCGAGAGUCCCUCGCACCACCCUCUUUCUUUACUCGAAAGGAAUAGAGUCAAAUGAGCGUCCUGUUACGAAUGUUGGUUCGAAGUCACCGAUAGUACCUCUAAUAAAAACAACCAACGACGGAAGACCUAAGAACAUAGUACACAAAAUAUUCAGGUCGUGAUACUAGACGUGAUACAUCAAAAGUCUGAACAGAUACAAAGAAUUAUACCGAUGUAUAACAACCUCUACAAAUAGGAAAAAUAAUGAAAACACAAUGAGUUCUUUCGAUUGCUACGGACGGACGGAUAAACUAUCACGAGGUCUCAAGUCCACGGACGUAACCGAGAUGGCAAACGGAAGAUUCUACGAAGACGUGACGUAGUCAUUUCCAUGACAGAGAAGUUCACGAAUAAUACUUUCCAGACACCUUUCGGAUAAUAACGUCAAGAUUAAUUUAAUCUCAACACCCACUACCGACUACAAGAUUUAGAACAACUGUCUUAUCGUACCGUAGAUAGUCUCUAGUGACGACGACCUUAGAACAUUGUUCAUAUCAUCAUGUAACGAAUAACACUUGAAUUAAUACGUACGUCACUCAUCACUACUCAUACCAACGAGAACGACGAUUUUUCCGUCCGACACGGGAAACAACACCAACGACCGCCAGUAUUCAACUAAAGACAUCCGAUACGUAAAUUAAAGUACAAAUAACACCACAAAAGUAGGAUUCGCUGAUUUUUUAGUGUUAUCUACGAAAGAUCAAUAAGACUUCCGCCAUACACAAACCAGUUGUAUCCGUAUAUACCAACAAAACCAAGACUAUUGCUAACACAAGAAAAAAAUUACAACAAUUGGCUGAACAAGGUAACAGUUAUUAUUUUACUUCCCGUUCUCAUCCGUGUUAAUUCAAUACCACGCUGUGACAAACGGUACAGUGUCUUCAUAGUAAUACUAACACGGAGUUGGUUUGUAAAAGUGAAGUACUUUGGAAAGGGUAGGCCGGUAGGGAACAUUUAUAGACUCAACCACCAACAGACAAACGGGGAAUGGGUAGGGGUAAAUUUUAAGUUUGGGUUGUUGGAAAAGUACGGUUUCGAGUAGCUUAGAACUCUCGUUUUCGAUGGUCCCAAGCAGGUCAGAUAUCUGGAACGUGGUUAAAUGGGACGUAAAUUAUCGUCAAGGAAACAGGUAUCAGAUAUUAACCAUCUACUUGCUCGGCCUCACUUAUAGUAAACUCAUUUGAUACAAGAUACAUCCAAACAAAAACGAAGCCAUCACAUCGUGUACGUAGAAUUGAUCAAGUUUAUGUUUUACACAACACUUGAACCAGUAAAUGAUAACAGAUGUUUAUAAGACUAGUAGAGUCAACGGUCCUACGCUGAAACUAUGAACGUCCAAAUAUCAGACUCAACCGAAUAUAUAGAGUUUCACAUACCACACUCGUAUAGUUGAUCUAAUCCGUGUUGACCUCUUUCUAAUCUGUGUAGUACAAACGAGAAGAAAAAAGAUCAAAUUAAUUACGUAACUUCUCUUUCUAAAAGAAUCGUAUAGUUUAUCUAAUCUGUUUUGACCUAAAACAUAAGAGGUCAACAACAAUUGAUUCGGGACGAGACCACUCAUUAUUAUUGGGACACCCGAAAUACUGACGACUCGAAAGUCAAUUUAGUGGUCAUCUUCCGAAAUACGGAACGCUCGAUACUCAUAGGGAAAAUAAGUAUUACAUCUACGAAUAUUUCUCAACAAAUGAUAAGCUAAAAAAGUGUGUAGUUGUGUCAUAAUACAUACUGCAAAUAAAGACAAAAAAAAAAUUUAGACAAAGAGACAAAGACGGACAAAAAUAAAGAAUAUCAUCCUUGAAUUAUAGGAAAUGAAGUGUCGACACGGGCAACAUAGGUGUGUUUCGGUCAAGUCACCAAAAUGACUUGCUCGAAUUUAAUGGUAAAGAGGCUAACGUACUCGAACGUUUAUGAGUACUUCAGUACUACUACCGCCAUGAGAAGAUUUACAACAGCUAGGUUUCAGACUGAUGUAC